GGGCGCGUAGCUCAGCGGUAGAGCACUGUCUUGACAUGGCAGUGGCCACAGGUUCGAUCCCUGUCGCGCCCACCA
RNAcentral lists this transfer RNA (75 nucleotides) under Enhydrobacter aerosaccus. RNAcentral's name for it is "tRNA_Val_GAC". It matches the Rfam family "tRNA". From Rfam's summary of the family: Transfer RNA (tRNA) molecules are approximately 80 nucleotides in length. Their secondary structure includes four short double-helical elements and three loops (D, anti-codon, and T loops). Further hydrogen bonds mediate the characteristic L-shaped molecular structure. tRNAs have two regions of fundamental functional importance: the anti-codon, which is responsible for specific mRNA codon recognition, and the 3' end, to which the tRNAs corresponding amino acid is attached (by aminoacyl-tRNA synthetases). tRNAs cope with the degeneracy of the genetic code in two manners: having more than one tRNA (with a specific anti-codon) for a particular amino acid; and 'wobble' base-pairing, i.e. permitting non-standard base-pairing at the 3rd anti-codon position. The record is from RNAcentral. RNAcentral also lists the same sequence under 16 other names. Lineage: Bacteria; Pseudomonadati; Pseudomonadota; Alphaproteobacteria; Hyphomicrobiales.